RNAcentral lists this ribosomal RNA (253 nucleotides) under uncultured bacterium. RNAcentral's name for it is "partial 16S ribosomal RNA". It matches the Rfam family "Bacterial small subunit ribosomal RNA", at positions 524 to 776 of the family's 1533-position model. The record is from RNAcentral.
UACAGAGGGUGCGAGCGUUAAUCGGAAUUACUGGGCGUAAAGGGCGCGUAGGUGGUUUGUUAAGUGAGAUGUGAAAGCCCUGGGCUUAACCUAGGAAUUGCAUCUUAAACUGAUGAACUUGAGUACUGUAGAGGAUAGUGGAAUUUCCGGUGUAGCGGUGAAAUGCGUAGAUAUCGGAAGGAACACCAGUGGCGAAGGCGGCUAUCUGGACAGAUACUGACACUGAGGCGCGAAAGCGUGGGGAGCAAACAGG